RNAcentral lists this long non-coding RNA (15346 nucleotides) under Prunus persica (peach). Its description in RNAcentral is "long non-coding RNA (PPER_LNC000652)". The record is from RNAcentral. Lineage: Eukaryota; Viridiplantae; Streptophyta; Magnoliopsida; Rosales; Rosaceae.
UGGAAGCUAUGUGUGGGCAUGCUUGUUCGUGAGGAUCUUCAAUUCGAGAGAGUUCAAGCAAGGACUGAGUAAGGCAAGACAAAAGUAUUGGAUAGAUUCGUGUUUAGAGUUUAUCUUCUUGAGUCUUGUAAUAGUCCAUUCUUAGUGGAUUUCUAGAGGUUUUUUCCGGUUGGGUUUUUUCCUUGUACCAUUGGGUACAAAAAUCCUUGUGUUAAUUUACUUAUGCUGCAAGAUUUUAUUAUUUAGAUUGGGGAUUGACAUCCUUGUCCAAUCAUAUUACGGUCAUCUAUUUACUCUACCUGAGGCACGAUUUCAACAAUUUUUCUCUUUAUUAGUGAGUUUUGUGCGAGAGCAAAUAAAUCCAACGUCCAAUUCAGAGACGCCACGUGGAAAAUAAGCUAAUCCUAAAAAUAUAUUAUUUAAAUCAAUAAAUGUAGAAGUCGGUGGGGAAGUUGUUGUAGUGUAGGAGGAAGAUGACAUCAACGUUGGAGAAGCUGUCUUCAAAGAUUGAACUGGACAUUCCGGUGGUUGUGGUGGUUGUGGCAGUUGCGAUAGUAAGUCAAAGUGGAUUUGGUGGCACAUGGAGAGGGAGAAAGAGACUUGGCGAGUUUGGAUAUAGGAGGGAGGUGGGAAAAGAAAGAAUGGGUUUGUUCAGUGUGUGCAACGACGGAGAAAGAGGGAGAAAUAGAUGGGGAGAGAGAAAGGAAGAGAGAAAGAUAGAGAAAGAGAGGGAUGGGUUUGUGUUUUUUUUUUUUGGUUGCAAAAUGUCACAUUUUUUGUCCCUGUGGUUUAUCACUUCUACCACUAAGGUCCUUGUGGUUUAAAUUUGAUCAUUUUUACCCCUAUGGUUUCAAUUUGAAGCAAUUCAAGGACAAUUAUUCUCAAUUUCUAUCAUUUUUUUUUAACUUAAUGUUAUUUGUUGAGAGGCAAUUUAGUCCACAAAUUAUUAAAAAAUUAAUUCCUUUUAAAAAUAAAAAAAUAUAAAUAUAAAAAAAAUAAAAUAAAGGGAGCUUUAGUAGUAUAUCCAAAAUAGAGACUGAAAUUAUAAAAAAAACUCCAUAUAAAAUGCACUUCAGAAACAUACCCAAAAACCAUUUACUAAAUAAGAAAUAAGUGUUGAAGUUCCUAUAAAUUACAUGACUGCCAUUGAUUAACUUAAAAUAAGCCCAACAUAAAAAACUCAAAAAAAAAACCCAAAACAAGCCCAACAAGCCCGAAAUACAUUGUUAAUACCAUAUCAUAGAGUACAUUGUUAAUACCAUUUCAUACAAAAAAAAACUAUAAAAAAAACUCAAAAAAGCCCAGCAAGACAUCCGAUAUUCUUUGCAGAAACCACCUCCAAUUGUCCACAAUUUCACCAGAAACAAUCGCAAAGGCAAAAGGAAAUACAUCUAUAAGAAGAAAAAAAAAAGUACACUGUUAAUACUAUGUCAUAGAACUAUAUUCCUAGUAAAAAUCACAUUAUGCAUAUCAUAAACUUCAAGUGCAUAGCUAUAUAUAGAGUAAAAUAUAGAGCAUGCUUUGUUACUGAAACAUGUUAAUACUAUGUCAUAAAAGCAUACUGUUAAUAUUAUGUCAUAGAAGUAUACUGUUAAUACUAUGUCAUAGAAAUCAACUCAGUUGCAGGGUAUGAACAGUAUAACAACUUUUCAUGCCACUUAUUAGAAAUUAACAACUACAUCAUUUCAUUUGCAUAAUAGAUAAGAUAAAGAAUCCAAACAGUACCAAACAUCAAAAUCAAGUCAACACUAAACAAUGUUUUGAGCAUUAAAAUUACAAAGAACCUAGAUCACUGAGAAUCUAAAUCCAAGAACAGUAAUUAUCAAAUUUCUUAUCUUUGGUUCAAUUUGUAUUAGAAAAGAAAAUGAAGAUGUUGUGGCAAGAUGCCACACCAACAAUACAAAUAUAUAGUUUAAGUUCUUGUAUGCAAAAUCAUUGUUAGCUAACUCAUAGUGGAAAACUGGAGGGAAAAAAGCAUACACUCUCUGCCUUUUCCAUCCAGUUUGUUUCCUUUUCUAUUGACACUGCAAUUUCUUAUUUAUGUUCUAAAGAAAAAAAAUAUGAAAUAUAUAUAUGAUAGAGAAAGGCUAGAAUGAGAUGAAACAAAUCCUAUGGCCUAUACAAACAAGUGGUCUAACAUGCUGCCAAUAGCCAUAGCAUAAUUAGAGAAGAAAUUGCAAUUGUUACCCAACUCAGGUACGCCAAUGCAACUGCCAUUUGGUAUUUUUGGCAUUCCUCUCCAAAAUUGCAGUGGCUCAAGCCACUAAAGUACAACACAAUUAUGCCAAAUGAUGCAAAAGCUGCUGCAAGAGACAAUGUUGCUGUAAGCUGUUAGAAAAGGUAAAGAGUAAGCUAUUAAAUGGCAAGCACUAUAUGGACACACAAGAUUUUCAUCUAAGGAAGUCAAGGAUUUGUAGAGGCUAACCCAGUCUCCAACUAUAAAGAGGCUAACCAAUGCAGGGUUGUGGAGGACCUUCUUUGGAAUAUGCAUCUAGCAAUGCCAACACUAAACUCCAGAUGACUUCCAGACCCAUUGAAGCAAUCAGGUAGCUGCAAAAUGAGCAUUGCCUUAAACAAAUAUCACAAUUUUUUUUCAGGAUAAGAAAUGGCAUGUGAUGCAUCAAGAGAUGUUGAAAUCUGCCCCAUAAGCCUACAGAAUCAGGUUACACAAAAUUGAACUUAGAUGGCAAUUUACUCACAAACAUUACAUAGCAUACACAGAUAGAGCCAAUAAGAAUAAGAAAUAUGAUAAUAAUACAGACUCCAAAAAGACACUUCAUUCUCGUGAAAAAACUUAACAGGUCAUAAGUUAACAAUGUAUCAAGAUUUUGUUUAAUGUUCUGGCAUACAAGAUUUUGUAGAACUUCAUUCUAUGCAAUAUUAUUGAUUCUCCAAGACCAUUCAUCGCAAUGCAAGAAGAAAACAGUGGACGAUACUAAGCAAAUAAAUCAUCAAACAACAGUGAGAAAAACAAGGAUAAUGAAUUCUAAAUCACUAAUUCCAAUUAUUAUAUCAUUCUAAAAUAGAAAAAGCAAUACAUCAAUGUCUCAUAUUGACUAAUUAAGUAUUUUACACCAAGAACUCAUCCCAAAAUUGAAUCACCAUCACCAAAACCUCAAUUCAAUCAUACAAUAAGCAAACACAUAAAUUAACAACAAGAAAUAAAAAUACAAGAAAUAAAAAAUUUCACAGUAACCUUCAAGAGCUUUUGCGCAUGCAAGACUACAAGUAGUUCUUAAGAGAAAUUCUCUCAUGGUAGCGUAUCCGUAUUGAGAUUGACGAAUGCUAUCCAACGAUCAUCUCAAGUACAAUCUCUGCUUUCUUUGCAUGGCUCAUUCCUCCAAAGGAGUUCUUAGCUCCGUCUCCGUCGGAGGUUGCUGUGGUUGACGUCACUCGGAUUCAACGGUGCUAGAGAAAGGAAAUAGAGGCUUAUCGUCUACCAACGGAGAUUGAGACGGAGAUGAUUACGGUGGCCCUGGAGGUGAAGAAGGAUGUGGUGCAUUAACUGGAGCGUCCGACAAAGAUGGUGGAAGGGAAAUCAGUGAUGGAGUUUUGGGUGAAGGUGAAUAGGCGGCGGGUUGCAGCGAUAGAGUCGACGAGCGCUAUGAAGGAGACGACGAAAAUACAAUGGAGAAUUGGACUAGGAGAAAAAGCCAAAAGCAGAGCUCGCUGAACCUCGCCGUUGUUUAAGAAGAAGAAGAAAGUUUGAGAUGUUGGUUGAUGAAGAUUAAGUUGAUUAAUAGAUAAAGCAAAAGGGCAAAACAAUAAUCAAACAUUACUGUUGGAUUUAAGAAAUGAACAGUUGUCAAUUUUUGGGUUUAUUUUGGGUGUGUUUAUAUACAUUAGAUGAUAUAGGAUUUUUUUUAUAGAACUAUGUCUAGGAAUGGGUAUUUGACUAAUUUUUUAUAAAAUAAAACAUCUAGGUCCCCUUUCCUCCUAAUCCCCACCAACAGUUGUAACAACCCGGUCCUUAAAAUAAUAUUUAAUUAUUAAUUUAUUAGGGAGAAAGAUAAUUUUGUCCCUAGAAUAAAUUAGUAAGGAAAAAGUUGACUUUUUGACCGAGAGGGAAUUUGGGAUUUUCGCAUAGACACGUAGUGGGCUCGAAUCGGAGUUAUAAUGACGAAAAUACUGUCAAAUUACAUAGAGGGGCAAAAUGGUAAUUCUUUUCAAGUCAGAAUUUUAAAACCCUCUUCUCUCUCUUCUUCCUUAGUCUCUCUUCUCUCUCCCUGCAGCCCCCCUUUCCCGUGCGUUUCCCUCAGCCAAACCUCCAUUAUCGCCACCACCCUUCAUCCCGACUGACGAGACAAGACCCAAAACCACCGCAGCAGCCCCGCCGACACACCCUGGCCUCUUCCCGCCACUAACCACCGCGAUAGUUACCGGAAAUCAAAGGAAUCGCUCUGGUUUUGGGUCGAUUUUUCACAGCUCUGUUCUCUCUCAUUCUGCCACCAAAUUGAAUGUGUGAUGUAUGGAUUUCUAGCUAUUUUUUGUGCUCUAGCUGUUGGUUGGAUAGGUUUUCAUCGAUUCGAAGCGUAGAGAGUUCGAUUUUAGAGUUAGGGUUCGGCCGAUUUUGAGAUAGAAAUUCCAGCCACUUCCGGCCAGUUUUUGGGGUAGGUCCAAGAACAAAAGUGGUUCUAAAUAGGGCCUUUCACCUAUGGUAGGAGUUUGGGCCGGCAGUUUGGAGUUUUUCCGGCCGUCAAAAAUUUAUCAAGCCACCCACGCGCUGCCGGUGCGUAUUGCGGUGCGUGGGCAAUGUGGUGGGGACCACAUUCAGUCCUAGAGUGAUCCCCCUACUAUCACAAGCGCAUAGGAAUUCUCGGAUCUUAAUUCGGACAACAUUUGAACCCCGAACGGAUCUCGCAUAUUGUGUGAUUUCCGGGUUCAAUACAAUUGAGCCGUUGGAUCGUAAUCAUUUUCAGAUUUGUUGAUCAAGACAUUUCCAAGAUUGUAUGGGAUUCGAAGGAUUGUGAAUCGGAGUCCCGGAUACUCCGAAAUCGCGAACCCUAGGGUUAGGUUUACAAUAAUUAUCCAAUGGUACGAUCGUGGUCAAUCUGACCGUCAAACCGAGGUCAAACUCUCGGGACUUGUUUCCUAGGUAUUUAAAAACCUCUAGGAGCUUUCGAAUCAGAAUUGUAAGGUCGUGGGCCCAAAUGCAAGUAAAGCUUUUAGGACUUUAGCGAUUUUUGAGUCUCGAGGUACUUCUCAACCAUCCCAAAUGCAAGUAAAGCUUUUGUGGGCAUAGGAAACGUUUCUAAGUUAGUGCACGCACUUCUAGGAGCCGGUGGUCAGGGUUUUAUUUAAAUGCUUAUACCGAGCAGUUUUAUUAAUUAGAUAUUCAUGAUGUUUAAUCAGGCACACGGGCACGGACCGACCCGCAGGAAGGACCUUCAAGAGGUCCAGCUAGCUCGGAUCAGGGGUGAGUGGACCUUUGCUUUUAAAAUGAUUUUAUGCAAUUUAUAUUCAUUAUGUGAUCUAUAGAAGUAUGCUUUAGAUCAAGGGCUUUCUGGAAUGUAUUGCUAAGGUUGAGUAUUUUAUGAGAGUACCUGAGUAUAGUAAAGGUAAUAACUUUAGAAAUCGGUUAGGAUGGCGGUAGUGUUUUAAGAUGAGAGGAGAUAGUUUUAUUUAUUUUUUAAGUAGAGUCUUUAGUUAAGUUAGCAUGCUUGACUUUGGCCCCACGAGACUUAGGGAUAUCCGAACUGUGGAAGCGAGAAACGCAAGUCAGGUGGGCUUAGUGUCCCUUGAGUCUUGCGAGGAGGGCGGAUCAAGCUAACCUGAGUCCUGCAAGGGUGUGUCACCAUGGUGACAUGAGGUAUAAAUAGUAAGUUAGGGUUUUGGCGAGAAUAAAUAAUUAUACCAAUAUGAUAAGUUGAGUUUUACUUCAAUAUCUUCCAGCAGGAAUAUUGUUUGGUAUUAUAUGUAUAAAUAUGAAUGCAUGAGUUCAGUAUGAGUAUAUAUGAGGAUAUUGAUUCAGUUUUUAUAACUGUUUUUACAAGUGGGGUUAGUAUGUUCAUAUGCUAUUUUCAAAACCUUAUUUUUGGUCCACUCACGUUUUCAAUGUUUUGAGCCCCCAGGCAGUAGGCGUACACAGUGAUCCACCACAGGGCUGUUUUCUACUUUCCGCACUUCCCCCAUUCUGAUGUAGGGCUCUUAUGAUAUUCAGCUGACUUCUUUUGUAAAUUCUUAGAUAACCUGCCCUAUAACUUAGAUUUAAUUGUUGGAAUAUAUAUAUGUACGCAUGCUGGCAGUUGGAUUGUAUAUAUAUAUGCUUAUUUUGACAUGUGUAAAUUUGGGGUUUGAUCAAAUUACAAGGGAGACUCUGCCGAAUUUUUGGUAGAAGUCAAGCUUGUUAUUAAACUGAAAUUUUGUUAGAAGGGCAAUUAGGUCAUUUGUACUUGGCACCCGCCAGGUGUCCGACACGCACAGGGUUCGGCUCGGAUUCCAAAGUGGAAUGUGGGUUGGGUCCUGUCAACUUGGUAUCAAAGCAUUAGGUUUAACUUCAUGUAGACUCUGCACUUUGUGCAUUCUAGUUUUAAUGAAUAUCUAUUUCUUGUGACAGAAUCAUGGGCCCUAAGCAUGGUGGCACUAGUAGAGAGGUUAGACGGUCGUCCCAACUCCAGGGGCAGGAUCCCCAGACCGGAUCAGAGGGAUUCCUUAUUCCCUCAUCGGUACCAACAAGGGCCGCACCAGAGAUACCCAUAUCGUCGGGAGAUCCCCACUUCCAGCAAACGUUAGAGAUGUUGACCCAGGCUCUGAACAGGACUGGGCAGCCCAGAGAUCCCUCCUUGAGUUAUGCAGAUAAGGUAAGAGGAUUGAGGCCACUGAUCUCAAUAGUGAUGGUGACCCAGCAGUAGCCGAGGAGUGGAUAAAGAGGAUAGAGCGGAUAAUGGAUGUGAUGGUCGUGCCACAAGACCACAGAGUGGGAGGCAAUUAGGAGGAGGUAUCAGGACCCAUCGGUCAUCACGUGGCCAGUGUUCAGAGCAGCAUUUGACAGCCAGUACUAUCCUCAAGCAUACCAGAACAUGAAGAUGGAAGAAUUUUUGCAGCUGGAGCAGGGGGUGAUGACUGUGUUGGAAUAUGAAAAGAAGUUUAAUGAGUUGUCCAAAUAUUGUGUUCCACUAGUACAGGAUGAAAGAAAGAAGUGCCAAUUAUUUACAAGAGGGUUGAAGACUUCCAUCAAGGACAUUGUGAUUAGUCAGCACUGACGAACUUUGCAAAUUUGGUGAUGUCUGCCUCAUUGGUAGAGUGCAGUCAGAUGAUGGUUCAAUCACGGGGUGAUCCCCGUAUGCAACAGUUUGAUAUGGUGGUCCUAGUUAGGGGCCAUCUAAGAGGGGUAGUUACAGUUCAAGAUCGUCUAGUGGCCGCAGCUAUGGAGGUUUUCGACCCGAAUUUAGUUCCAGUGAAGGCUCUAACCAGAGCGGUAGUUCUGGAAACCAUUCUGGAAGGGGUGUAGCCCGAGAUAUCGGGAGAUAGUUGCAGACAACUACUAGUAGGAAGGGUCGUCCCUAGUGUGCAGAGUAUGGUAGGUACCAUUAUGGGCAUUGCCGACAGGGUGCUAUUUGAUGCUAUCAUUGUGGACAGCCCGGACAUUUCCGGAGGGAGUGCCUGAUGCUUCUUCAGGGUGGAGACGCAACAGCUGUACCAACUCAGGGGAUUAGCGCCCAGGGUAGAUCUCAAGAGGCACCACAGUUUGUAGGGGCUUCAUCCAGUGGUGAAGCCCAGACUGAUACAGCCGGCAGGAAUGGCAACCAGUAGAGGGGACAUGGCGGAGACGUUCCAGAGCUACAGGGAGAGUGUAUAAUAUGUCACAGCAAGAGCACAGGCGUCCCCAGAUGUAAUUAUAGGUAUGUUGCCAGUUUUUGGGAUUCAUGCUAAAGCAUUGAUUGACUGUAGGGCUACACAUUCGUUUGUUACACCUAGUUCUGCCACAAUGCAAAUGUGAGACUUUCAAUUCUACGGAAUGAGAUGGCGAUGUCCGUACCUACAAGAGAGGUCUUUAUGGUAGGUACAAUGUAUUGGGAUAGUUUGGUGUUAGUGGGGGAGGUAUUUUUGGAGCCAAAUCUAAUUCCCCUAGAGAUGGUGGACAGAGUAAGUUUAGCAAAUGCCAGUUCUGGUUGGACAGAGUAAGUUUCUUGGGAUAUGUGAUCUCUGCAGAAGGUAUAUUUGUGGAUCCCCAGAAAAUUGAGGCAGUAGUGAAUUGGCCACGACCAACCAGUGUUAUUGAGAUACGGAGUUUCCUUGGGUUAGCCGGGUAUUAUCGCCGUUUCGUGGAGGGUUUCUCCACCAUAACGGCGCCUCUCACUCAUUUGACAAGAAAAUACGUCAUGUUCGAAUGGUCAGAUGAAUGUGAGGAGAGCUUCAUUGAACUCAAGACCAGGUUGACCACUGCUCCGGUGUUAGCCCUUCCGGAUGAUAGUGGGAACUUCGUUAUCUACAGUGAUACAUCCCAACAAGGACUUGGUUGUGUGCUAAUGCAGCAUGGUAGGGUAAUUGCUUAUGCUUCUAGACAGCUCAAGAAACAUGAGGUGAAUUAUCCUAUUCAUGAUUUAGAACUUGCUGCGGUGGUUUUUGCCCUAAAGAUUUCUACGGAGAAACAUGCCAGAUUUUUUCAGAUCAUAAGAGUUUGAAAUAUCUGUUCACCCAGAAGGAAUUGAAUUUGAGGCAAAGAAGGUGGCUAGAGUUGAUUAAAGAUUAUGACUGUACAAUUGAGCAUCACCCGGGAAGAGCUAAUGUUGUAGUUGAUGCACUAGCAGAAAAUCCUCAGGGUCUGUCACUUAUUUCCGAAGGAGGUAUGUGCCCUUGAUGGUAGAAAUAAGGAAGCUCAGAGUUGGGCUAGGUAUGGAUGAUCUGGGAGCAUUGUUAGCUACUCUCCAUGUGAGACCCGUGCUAGUGGAGUGAAUACUCGCAGCUCAAUCACAGGAUCCUUUGAUUUGGAUGCUACGAUCGGAGGUGGAGAAUGGCGACAGAACUGAUUGUUCAGUAAGAAAUGAUGGAGCUUUAAUGGUGGGUACCAUGUUAUAUGUCCCUAAUGAUGAAUCUUUAAAAAGAGAAAUGCUAAAUGAGGCUCAUUGUUCAACUUUUACUCUGAGGGAACACUAUUGGUGGCCUUUUAUGAAGACAGAAAUAGCAGAGUAUGUCAGGAGGUGCUUGGAGUGCCAGCAAGUCAAGGCAGAGCGACAAAAACCAUCGAGGUUGUUGCAACCACUUCCAAUUCCUGAGUGGAAGUGAGGAAGUGGGAGCACAUAACCAUGGAUUUUGUGUUCAAGCUUCCUCGGACACUGAACAAGCAUGAUGGAGUUUGGGUAAUCGGGCACGUUUGCCACGGUUCUUCCGUUUUGGAAUCUGAUAUGCAGGCUCUAUGCCUUCUGAAAUCAAAUUAUCAUGGGAUAUUUCAUUAAUGUUAUCAAUUUAAGGACAAGAUCUUACCUGAAUGACAUCAUCAACAGGUGAUUGGUGUGGUACUGGAGUUGAAGAAGUCUCCAGAGUGGGCAAAAUCUCAUCAGUUUCUUCAUCCUGAGUUGGACAGCAAGGAGACGACAUAUCAGGCUGAGGUUGGUUUUCAGGGAGCGACCAAUCGCUUCCAAGCUCCGAUCAGUGGCUUCCAAGCUGUGACCAGUCAUUUUCUAGCAGAGUCAUAAGCGACCGAUCGUUCUCAGGCUGCGACCGGUCAUUUUCAGGCAGAGUCAUUGGUGACCGGUGUCUUUCAACGUGCGACUGGUCGUUUUCAGGCUGGGACAAUUCUGGAGGAAAAAAAUCAAAAUUUUGAGAAGUGUUGGUGUCGCAAUGCUCCUCAUGUGCAGCUAAAAAAUAUAUGUCGUUUUCUCAGAACACAACAUCCAUAGAAGCAUGGACUUUCUGACUAGGAGGAUGAUAACACCGGUAUCCUUUUUGAUGAGGUGCAUGACCAAUGAAAACACACUUUUCGGUUCGGGGAUCCAAUUUGCUUCGUUGGUGAUCAUGUAAGUGGACAAUACAACACAGCCAAAAAUCAGGGGUUCCAGAUUUGGGGUGGGAGGUGUUUGGAUAUGGUGGUGAAGUAUUUGAAGUGGUGUUUGAAAAUUUAGGAUACUAGAGGGAAUCCGAUUGAUAAGGUAUGCGGUAGAGACGACGGCUUCGCCCCAAAAUGAUCGUGGCAUAUUGGCACCAAAGAGAGAGGCACGAACAACUUCCAAUAAGUGUCUGUUCUUUCUUUCAGCCACCCCAUUUUGUUGGGGAGUGUAAGGGCAUGAGCUUUGAUGUAUGAUGCCAUGAUCUUGUUAGAGCUGGUUAAGAUCAUGGUUAAGAAAUUCUCUGCCAUUGUCAGAACAAAGAACCUAAAUUUUGGCAUGAAACUGAGUCUCCACCAUUUGAUAAAACUAUUGAAACCUGGAACUAACUUCCCCUUUUGUUUUGAGAAGGGAAACCAAAGUCAUGUGUGUGCAAUCAUCAAUAAACGUAAUAAACCAGCGCUCCCCUGCCGGAGUGGCAAUUUUAGCAGGUUUCCAAACAUCAAAAUGAACAAGGGAAAACGGAAUCAAACUCUGAUUUGAACUUAAUGGGAACGGGACACGAUGACUCUUAGCCAAUUCACACAUAUCACACUAGAAGCUGGAAGCAUCAAGAUUGGAAAAUAAUGAUGGAAACAACUUCUUAAGAUAACCGAACGAGGCAUGCCCAAGACGUUUAUGCCAUAACCAAAUUUUAUCUUUCUACCCCUCAAGACGAGUUCCACUGGUUGUGAAAGCUUGACCACCCUUGACCUCACUAUUCGGUGCCCAGUCCAAGUAAUAGAGUUUGCCCCACCGAGCACCACAACUAAUCGUCGUUCUUGUGAGGAUGUCCUGAAAAAUACAAUGAUUCUGCUAAAAUGUUACAGUACACCCUAAAGUAGUAGUAAGUUGUGCAACAGAUAACAAGUUAUGGUCCAAAGAUGGAACAAGUAAUACAGAAUCCAGAUGUAGGGAAGUAGAGAGAGAUAGAGAGCCCUCCCCAACCACAGGGGAGGGGGUACCAUUAGCAUUAGAUACCACCGACGGAGUGGAUGAUUUGCGAUUAAUAAGUUGGCCAGGAUCAAAUAUCAUGUGAUCCGUAAUGCCCGAGUCGAUAAUUCAUGCAGAGGUUUUGGAGGACGUAUGAAAAGUAGAACCUUUGGUGGUGGUGAUAGAAGCAGGAAUCCGGGUAGCCGGGUCAGCAGGAUUGACCACAUGCUUCUGUGAGUCUGCAAUAAGAUGGAGAAUCGUAGGGGUUCCUGACAUCACAGCGGAAGUAAGAUGUGAUAUGAGAAGGUGAGGAAUUUGAUGUGAGGAAUUUGAUGUGAGGAAUUUGAUAUAUGAAUUUGAUGUAGGAAUUGGAUUUAAGAGGUAUGUGUAUAAGAUUUGAGGGUAUGUGUUUAGGGAUUUGGAUAAGAGGAUUUGAGGACUUUAGAUUUGAGGGAUUUGGAUUUAGGGAAAAUUAUGAGGAAUUUGAUUUAGGGUUUUGGAUUUGAAUAUGAGAAAUCUGAGAUAAGGGUUUAGAGACAACCUAGGAUCGAUUACUCUGAUACCAUGCUAAAAUAUGAAUAUGGUUUGAAUGUAUUAGGUUGAAUUAUAUUCUUUUCCAUAAGGAGGUAUAUAUAGGAGUUUACAUGAGUGCUUUACAAAGAAAUAAAUACAUUAAUCAAUUAGGAUAGUAUCUCCUAAUUAUACAAAGAUUUGUCAACUAAAUAAAAUGGGAAAUUAAAUCUCUUAAUUAAUCAAGAAAAUAAAUCUCCUUGAUUAAUUAGGAGACUCACGUCAACAUCAUGUUAAGAUUUCAAAGGGAGGAACCCUUGGCCCACCACUAGCAACAUCGAUAUUGUCCCUAACUUAACCACCUGUUUAGUAGAUGUAGGGUUUUAUACAAAAGGUCUCGAUGUUAUUAGGAGUGAAACCAUUUAUUAUUUGAGACUUUAUAUUUUGUUAAGUUUCCGAUGUGGAACUCGUGUAUUCUUCAACAUAAUAUGCUGAGGUUUUUUUAAAAUUGUUAAGAAGAACAAGAAGAAAAAAAAAUAAAGUAAAUUUAGGUUUUAGCCACAAAAAAACUUUCACUUUUGGAAAAAGCCAAAACUUUUUCAAAAAAGAUAGAAAAGCCUCUCAACUUUCAAACCAAAGACAUGCAGAUGUAAAGGAUUCCUUAGGAAAUCCAAAAAUAAAUAAGGGCAAUUUUGUCCAUUUUGGCUUCUUUUAAAAAAUUUCUCUCUCCUUUGGCCUUUUCCAAAGUCUCCCAUAUUGAAAAGCCCAUUAAAAAUUGCAAAACCGUAAACACCAAUUUUCUUGAAAAUUUAUGAAUAUACCAUACCCUAGAGUAUUUCUACAUAAGAAUGUUUUUAAAAAAAAGUAAAUUCAAAUUGAAAACAACUAAUAGAACACACAAGAAUCCUAUAGCCAAACCAAAUAUCAACCGUGAUCUUGAAAAAAUUUUCCAAAGGCGCAAGGACUGAACCUCCCUUCACCGGAAAAAAGCUUUGGAGAUGCCGGAAGUUGCCCCUUUGCUUGUGCCCAUAUGGUAUUUGAUGAAAAAACAAUUGAAAAAGAAGUAUCAAAUGAGCCAAAAAGAGAAAGCGAGACUACAAAUUGCCUUCGCAUAUGAUCCACACUUCCUUUGAGACCUAACCAAGAGAAUUUUUCUGUUCAUUUUACGUUUAUAUAUUAAAUUUCUAUAACAAGAUUGAUGUCUCUUAUCCUCGCCCCAUUCACCUUUGCAUCCAAUGGCCGUAAUUCUUCCAUUUUUUCUUAAUGUUGGGUUUAAGCAGGACCAUCCAUAAGUAUAUUAUUGCUUGCUUCAUCCACACUGGUACAAGGCCAAAAUUCUUGGCUUAUUUAAAAGCCGACCACACCUUGUCUCGUUUACAGUCUUGACAUGGUGCAAGUCACACUAUACUAUGGUUGCGUGUUAGAUUGUCCAGGUCUUACAAACACACCAUAAGUAUGUCAUUGUUCAGUUUUCCCACCAUCUAUGAUAGGCAUUGAUGUGUAGGUCAAACAUUCAAGUCGCUUUAGCCAAGUUACACUCAGUGCCGGCCCUAAGGGUGUGCAAGGAGGGCCACAUGCCUUGCAUUUGUAGGGCCCCAAAUUAUAUAUAUGUACCAAGUUGAAGGAUAUGACUUUAGAGGAGAAUGAUUUCAAUAGUUUGGUAUUUGGAGGCCUCAAAUCUGAUUACAAGUGUUUUUGAAGAGUCCAAAUGAAAAUUAUGUAAUAUACGAACAUCAAUUACAUGUAUUUAAGUAUUUAAUUGCCAAAAAGUAUUUAAUUGCUAAAAGUAGCAAUCAAUGAAAGAAAGCCAAUAGGGACUAUAAAUUCUUUUAUUUAUCCAAAAAUUCUUAUUAGUAGAUUAUUUAGUGAAGAAAUAUGAAAGAGUGCAAGUAUUGAUCACUACGUAUUGGGAUCUGUUUCCAACUUUUUUUUUUCGGGUAUUAAUCUUUUUUCAUCUCACCGUUCUUAUGAAAUUUUAUGGAGUUUAGUUAGUUAUCCUUGUCCAUAGUGUUGAUCAUGAAAAAAUUUGUUAGUCAAGGUUCUUGAGCCAUUUGUCGUACUUAUUUGCAUGUGAUGGCAGGGAAAACUUGCAGUUGAAGCUUGUUUUGAUGAGUGCCACCUUGAGUGUGGAGGACUUCAUGUAUGGUAGAAAGCUGUUUUGCAAUCCCCCGCCAGUUAUAGAAGUUCCCACCAGACAAUUUCCUGUAACCAUUUACUUUUCAAGCAGAACUAAGGAAGAGGAUUAUAUUGGGCAAGCAUGCAUGUAAAAAAGCCUUGGCAAUUCACAAGAGGCUGCCACGCCGGGGCAUACUUGUGUUCGUCACUGGGCAGAGGGAAGUAGAGUAUUUGUGUCGAAAGCUACGUAGAGUUUCAAAGGAACAGUUUAAAAAACAACUGAAGGGGAUAUUAGGAGUGAUGUCACUGAAGUUUCUGAAAGAAGUUCUACUGAGGAAAUAGACAUGAGAUCUAUGAAGCAUUUGAGGUUCAUGGAAAUUCGGCUGGCCAUCAAACUGACAGAUUUAGCUAUAAUGAUGAGGAUCAGUUAACUUUUCAAUGUGGGACAAACACUCUCAAUACGCCCCCGCACGUAUGGCGAACUAGGGCUGGCAAUGGGUCGUGUCGUGUCGGGUUCGUGUCGUGUCGGGAUAAUAAACGUGUCAAGAAUGCUCAACCCGAACCCAACCCAUUUAAUAAACGUGUCGUGUUGGGUUCGGGUCGUCUUUUAUCGUGCGGGUUUCGAGUCGUGUAACGGGUUCAUAAAGAAUAACAUGCAUGUUACAAAACUCACAACCGAAAAAAUUUUAGUUAAAAAAAAACAGAGAGAGUAGAGAAAAUAUAAGGAAAAGAAAGAAAAAAAAAGAUAGAGAGAGGAGAGAAGAGAGAAGCUAAAGAAAGAAAAAAAUAGAGAGAGAGAGAGAGAGAGAGAGAGGAGAGGAGAGAAGAUUGAAGGAAAGUAAGAAAGAAAAAAGAGAGAUGAGAGAAAACUGAAGAGAAGGAAAAAAAACAGAGAGAAGAGGAAAGGAAAAGAGAGGAAAAAAAAAAAAAAAAGAGGAGAAGAGACGGGUUGACGGGUUGUACACGGGUUGACACGACCCGUGACACGACCCGUUUAAUAAACGGGUUAGAUAGGUAUUAUAGCGGGUUAGCGGGUUGACCCGAAACCCACCCGUUUAUUAAACGGGUCAGAACGGGUUGACCCGAAAUUGACCCGUUUUUUUAUCGUGCGGGUUGAACCCGCUAAUUUCUCGUGCGGGUUUCGAGUCGUGUAUCGGGUCGUAUCCGAAAUUGCCACCCCUAUGGCGAACCUUCAAGUCUAACACGUGGACAACACAUAUUGGGUGACGUGGGAGCACGUGUGGCCGUUGGGCCCAACGCGUGAAGCCUUGCUCUGAUACCAUGAAGGCAGUUGAGGUUCCACCCCAAAACCAAUUGGUAAUGGGGGGAGUAGCCCAACUCCUUAUAAACCCAGGCUUGGUCCUUUAACUUUUAAAAUGUGGGACAAACACUCUCAACAUUAAUAUGCAAUUAAACAUCUUGAAAUUUUCUUUUAGUAGCUUGAUUUGUGAGGUGGGGAUAUAGUUUAACUUCACAAGAUUUUUAUGUGCAGCCCACUGACUAUACGUAAAAUUGACAAUACUGAUUUCAUUGGGGUUAGGUUUGGGGUUCUGAACCUGUUGGUUUGUGUAUCUUAUUGCUUGUAGAUGUAUCAUUCAUCUUCUAAAGUUCAUGGUUUUCGAUAGUUCUUACUAAGUUCUUGGGCAGCGUUGGCUUGUUUCACCUGAAAGUAUGCUUUAUUUUGUUACCAUUAUGUUAUUUAGAGAUCAUGUUUCUUGUGUUUCAUCUUUUACGUCUGGAGGACUGCUGUUAUAGUAUAUGACCUU